AGAGCCGACCCGAUGCUGCUUGAAGAAGGCUGGAGGUAUGUUAAGGAGACAAGGGCUGUCAAGAAGCAGGGAUGUCUCUGGAAAGGUUCCCCUUGCUGCUGCCAUGUGAAGAAGGACAUGUUUGCUUCCCCUUCUGCCAUCAUUAGAGAAGUAAUACGACACGUAAAGAAACCUGGAUUGAAACAAAGAAAUGAAGAACACUAGAAAUGAAAUAAAUAAAGGUAUCCUGGCUUCCUCCCACACCCCAAAGCUGUGCACACGAGGUGAACUAGCGUACCCACAUGGACCUCAUCUGUGUGAGUGUGGGUGUGUUUGAGUGCACCCUCUGAUGGCAUAUCAUCCUGUCCAGGGUCGUUCUUCUAUUGCUCUGAACUGCCAGGAGUGGCUCUACCCACCUGUGACCCCAAACUCGUCUCAGCAGACAUGGUUUCCCUUUAUCGCUGAAGCUGGAAUACAGGGAUUAUAGCUCACUGCAGCCUUCGGCUCCUGGGCUCAAGUGAUAAUCUUGCCUCGGUAUCCCAAGUUGCUGAGUACCUGAGACUAAAGGUUUAUACUCACCUGUCCAUCAUGUGGAAGCUGGAGAGUCACUUCUUUUGAUAAUUCAAGAAUCUUGGGAUACUUCAGAGAACAAUUCUCAAACAACAACUUCAAACUGACAGACAGACUUCAAGGAACUAUGCAGGAUAGAUGGGUGGCCAAAUGACAAGCUUGGAAAGCUACAAGGGAGUGCUACCUGCUCCUCUCCGUCCAUUCUUUGCUCUCUACUCUGAACUCCAUGUCUUCCACCAAGGUUCACUUCACCACUGUGUCAUUAAAAUGUUCAGUACCAAUAUGCAGACUGUCCGCAAUGAUAGGUAUAAACUGUUCAAGAAGACACCCAUUUCUAGCAAAAUUUCUGACUCCUUUCAAAAUAAAAAUUGGCCC
Molecule: long non-coding RNA, 924 nt
Filed under: Homo sapiens (human)
Lineage: Eukaryota; Metazoa; Chordata; Mammalia; Primates; Hominidae
Description: novel transcript, antisense to MMP16
Source: RNAcentral